This 496-nucleotide ribosomal RNA is filed under the name uncultured bacterium. Its description in RNAcentral is "partial 16S ribosomal RNA". It matches the Rfam family "Bacterial small subunit ribosomal RNA", at positions 29 to 507 of the family's 1533-position model. The record is from RNAcentral.
AUGAACGCUGGCGGCGUGCCUAAUACAUGCAAGUCGAGCGAACAGACGAGGAGCUUGCUCCUCUGACGUUAGCGGCGGACGGGUGAGUAACACGUGGAUAACCUACCUAUAAGACUGGGAUAACUUCGGGAAACCGGAGCUAAUCCCGGAUAAUAUAUUGAACCGCAUGGUUCAAUAGUGAAAGACGGUUUUGCUGUCACUUAUAGAUGGAUCCGCGCCGCAUUAGCUAGUUGGUAAGGUACCGGCUUACCAAGGCGACGACGCGUAGCCGACCUGAGCGGGUGAUCGGCCACACGGGAACUGAGACACGGUCCAGACUCCUACGGGAGGCAGCAGUAGGGAAUCUUCCGCAAUGGUCGAAAGCUUGACGGAGCAACGCCGCGUGAGUGAUGAGGGUCUUCGGAUCGUAAAACUCUGUUAUUAGGGAAGAACAAAUGUGUAAGUAACUAUGCACGUCUUGACGGUACCGAAUCAGAAAGCCACGGCUAACUACGUG